UUGAACGCUGGCGGCAUGCCUUACACAUGCAAGUCGAACGGUAACAGGUCUUCGGAUGCUGACGAGUGGCGAACGGGUGAGUAAUACAUCGGAACGUGCCCGCUCGUGGGGGAUAACGCAGCGAAAGCUGUGCUAAUACCGCAUACGAUCUACGGAUGAAAGCGGGGGAUCGCAAGACCUCGCGCGGACGGAGCGGCCGAUGGCAGAUUAGGUAGUUGGUGGGAUAAAAGCUUACCAAGCCGACGAUCUGUAGCUGGUCUGAGAGGAUGAUCAGCCACACUGGGACUGAGACACGGCCCAGACUCCUACGGGAGGCAGCAGUGGGGAAUUUUGGACAAUGGGCGCAAGCCUGAUCCAGCCAUGCCGCGUGAGGGAUGAAGGCCUUCGGGUUGUAAACUGCUUUUGUACGGAACGAAAAAGUCUUCGCUAAUACAGGGGGCGGAUGACGGUACCGUAAGAAUAAGCACCGGCUAACUACGU
Molecule: ribosomal RNA, 480 nt
Filed under: uncultured bacterium
Lineage: Bacteria
Description: bacterial SSU rRNA
Rfam family: Bacterial small subunit ribosomal RNA
Source: RNAcentral